RNAcentral lists this ribosomal RNA (747 nucleotides) under uncultured marine bacterium. Its description in RNAcentral is "bacterial SSU rRNA". It matches the Rfam family "Bacterial small subunit ribosomal RNA", at positions 85 to 819 of the family's 1533-position model. The record is from RNAcentral.
GGCGAGUAAAGCGGCGCAAGGGUGAGUAACACGUAACCAACCUACCCCGAAGACCGGAAUAACCAUCGGAAACGAUGGGUAAUGCCGGAUGGCCCCAGGACGAGACAUCUCGAUCUGGGUAAACGGUGGCCCUGCCACUGCUUUGGGAGGGGGUUGCGGACUAUUAGCUUGUUGGUGGGGUAACGGCCUACCAAGGCGAUGAUGGUUAGCGGGUCUGAGAGGAUGAUCCGUCACACUGGGACUGAGACACUGCCCAGACUCCUACGGGAGGCUGCAGUCGAGAAUCUUCCGCAAUGGGCGAAAGCCUGACGGAGCGACACCGCGUGCAGGAUGACGGCCCUCGGGUUGUAAACUGCUGUCACACUUCUAGGAAUGGCGUGCGGUUAAUAUCCGUACGUUUGACCAGGGUGAAAGGAAGCACCGGCUAACUCCGUGCCAGCAGCCGCGGUAAGACGGAGGGUGCAAACGUUGUUCGGAAUCACUGGGCAUAAAGAGCAUGUAGGCUGUCUAGUCAGUCGGAUGUGAAGGCCCGCGGCUCAACCGCGGAACUGCAUCCGAUACUGCUGGACUCGAGGAUGGUUGGGGUGAGCGGAACUCCUGGUGGAGCGGUGAAAUGCGUAGAUAUCAGGAGGAACACCGGUGGCGAAGGCGGCUCACUGGACCAUUUCUGACGCUGAGAUGCGAAAGCUAGGGGAGCGAACGGGAUUAGAUACCCCGGUAGUCCUAGCCGUAAACGAUGGGCACUAG